CACACAUCAGAUUAACAAGUUCAGAGCCCUCUUAAUGACUAUCUUGUUUUGGAAGGAAGAAGAAAUGGAAGAGAUGCUUUGGAAGUAGAAGUUGUCAACGACAAGCCUGACAUCACCCAAA
Molecule: long non-coding RNA, 121 nt
Organism: Sinocyclocheilus anshuiensis
Lineage: Eukaryota; Metazoa; Chordata; Actinopteri; Cypriniformes; Cyprinidae
Exons: 4
Source: RefSeq, a predicted model, not a curated record